GCCGGGGUGGCGGAAUGGUAGACGCAACGGACUUAAAAUCCGUUGCUCCGCAAGGGGCGUGCGGGUUCGACUCCCGCCCUCGGCA
Molecule: transfer RNA, 85 nt
Rfam family: tRNA
About the family: Transfer RNA (tRNA) molecules are approximately 80 nucleotides in length. Their secondary structure includes four short double-helical elements and three loops (D, anti-codon, and T loops).
Source: Rfam